RNAcentral lists this ribosomal RNA (432 nucleotides) under uncultured bacterium. RNAcentral describes it as "partial 16S ribosomal RNA". It matches the Rfam family "Bacterial small subunit ribosomal RNA", at positions 29 to 506 of the family's 1533-position model. The record is from RNAcentral.
AACGAACGCUGGCGGCAGGCCUAACACAUGCAAGUCGAGCGAGCAUUUCGGUGCUAGCGGCGGACGGGUGAGUAACGCGUGGGAACGUGCCCUUUUCUGCGGAAUAGUCCUGGGAAACUGGGGGUAAUACCGCAUACGCCCUUUUGGGGAAAGAUUUAUCGGAGAAGGAUCGGCCCGCGUUGGAUUAGGUAGUUGGUGGGGUAAUGGCCCACCAAGCCGACGAUCCAUAGCUGGUUUGAGAGGAUGAUCAGCCACACUGGGACUGAGACACGGCCCAGACCCCUACGGGAGGCAGCAGUGGGGAAUCUUAGACAAUGGGGGCAACCCUGAUCUAGCCAUGCCGCGUGAGUGAUGAAGGCCUUAGGGUUGUAAAGCUCUUUCAGCUGGGAAGAUAAUGACGGUACCAGCAGAAGAAGCCCCGGCUAACUCCGU